Molecule: ribosomal RNA, 433 nt
Filed under: uncultured bacterium
Lineage: Bacteria
Description: partial 16S ribosomal RNA
Rfam family: Bacterial small subunit ribosomal RNA
Source: RNAcentral
AACGAACGCUGGCAGCAUGCCUAACACAUGCAAGUCGAACGAGACCUUCGGGUCUAGUGGCGCACGGGUGCGUAACGCGUGGGAACCUGCCCUUAGGUUCGGAAUAACUCCCCGAAAGGGGUGCUAAUACCGGAUAAUGUCUUCGGACCAAAGAUUUAUCGCCUUUGGAUGGGCCCGCGUUGGAUUAGCUAGUUGGUAGGGUAAAAGCCUACCAAGGCGACGAUCCAUAGCUGGUCUGAGAGGAUGAUCAGCCACACUGGGACUGAGACACGGCCCAGACUCCUACGGGAGGCAGCAGUGGGGAAUAGUGGACAAUGGGCGAAAGCCUGAUCCAGCAAUGCCGCGUGAGUGAUGAAGGCCUUAGGGUUGUAAAGCGCUUUUACCCGGGAUGAUAAUGACAGUACCGGGAGAAUAAGCUCCGGCUAACUCCGUG